UUUAUGAGCAUACCAUUUUGUUGACGUUUUGAGUAUAUGAAUGUAUAUUAUAAGAACAGUCCUUACAAAAUAUAUUUUGCUCCUUUUUUCCUGCUCUUAUAGAAUAAAGAUAUUCAGCCUAUAAAAUUUCUAAUCAAACACCAACAAGAAGUGAAGAUUUAUUUUCCCAUCAUGCUUACACCCAAAUUUCUGGCAUUUCCUCACCAUCCUAUGGGAAAGUUAUAUCAUUAUAAAGUACAGGUAGAGGGUGGCAGUGGCAACUUCACCUGGACUUCUUCUAAUGAAACAGUGGUCAUAGUAACCACUAAAGGAGUAGUGACUGCAGGUCAGGUCAGGGGGAAUAGUACUGUUUUGGCCCGAGAUGUACAAAAUCCCUUUCGAUAUGGAGAAAUUAAGAUACAUGUCCUGAAACUGAACAAAAUGGAACUGUUACCAUUUCAUGCUGAUGUGGAGGUUGGCCAGAUUAUAGAAAUCCCCAUUGCAAUGUAUCACAUAAAUAAAGAGACCAAAGAAGCCAUGGCAUUCACAGACUGCUCUCAUUUAUCCUUGGAUCUGAACAUGGAUAAACAAGGAGUCUUUACUCUUCUCAAAGAAGGUAUUCAAAGACCUGGACCAAUGCAUUGUUCCAGUACACAUAUUGCAGCUAAAUCUCUCGGCCAUACUCUGGUAACAGUAAGUGUGAGUGAAUGUGACAAGUACUUGGAGAGCAGUGCUACAUUUGCUGCUUAUGAACCCCUAAAGGCUCUAAAUCCUGUGGAAGUGGCAUUGGUGACAUGGCAGUCUGUGAAGGAAAUGGUAUUUGAAGGGGGUCCUCGUCCAUGGAUCUUGGAGCCCUCCCGAUUUUUUUUGGAACUGAGUGCGGAGAAGACAGAGAAGAUUGGAAUAGCACAAGUGUGGCUGCCAUCUAAGAGAAAACAGAACCAGUACAUCUACCGGAUCCAAUGCCUGGAUUUAGGGGAACAAGCUCUCACAUUCCGAAUUGGAAACCAUCCAGGUGUCCUGAACCCUAGUCCAGCUGUAGAGGUUUUGCAGGUUCGCUUCAUAUGUGCCCACCCUGCCAGUAUGUCAGUAACUCCAGUAUACAAGGUGCGAGCUGGUGCCCAGCCAUGUCCCCUGCCACAGCACAACAAACAGCUGAUUCCUGUGUCAAGACUGAGGGACACAGUCCUGGAACUAGCAGUGUUUGAUCAACAUAGGAGAAAGUUUGAUAAUUUCAGUUCACUAAUGCUAGAAUGGAAAUCCUCCAAUGAAACACUAGCCCAUUUCGAAGAUUAUAAAUCAGUGGAAAUGGUAGCAAAAGAUGAUGGCAGUGGGCAGACCCGGUUACAUGGUAUUGUGGAAAUAUACAAGUCUUUUC
This 1357-nucleotide long non-coding RNA is filed under the name Rhinopithecus bieti (black snub-nosed monkey). RNAcentral's name for it is "lncRNA (ENSRBIG00000046147.1)". The record is from RNAcentral. Lineage: Eukaryota; Metazoa; Chordata; Mammalia; Primates; Cercopithecidae.